Molecule: small nuclear RNA, 22 nt
Filed under: Arabidopsis thaliana (thale cress)
Lineage: Eukaryota; Viridiplantae; Streptophyta; Magnoliopsida; Brassicales; Brassicaceae
Description: snRNA_19127
Source: RNAcentral
ACACUUAAUAAAUUUAACAAAA